Molecule: non-coding RNA, 125 nt
Organism: Triticum aestivum (bread wheat)
Lineage: Eukaryota; Viridiplantae; Streptophyta; Magnoliopsida; Poales; Poaceae
Source: Rfam
UUCAUACUCCCUCCGUCCGGAAAUACUCGUCGGAGGAAUGAAUGUAUCUAGAUGUAUUUUAGUUCUAAAUACAUUCAUUUUUAUGCAUCUUUUCGGCAAGUAUUUCCGGACGGAGGGAGUACAUU